UACGAAGGGGGCUAGCGUUGCUCGGAAUAAGUGGGAGUAAAGAGUACGUAGGCGGAGUAUUAAGUAGGUGGUGAAAUCCUGGAGCUCAACUCCAGAACUGCCUUCGAUACUGAGAGUCUCGAGUCCGAGAGAGGUGAGUGGAACUGCGAGUGUAGAGGUGAAAUUCGUAGAUAUUCGCAAGAACACCAGUGGCGAAGGCGGCUCACUGGCUCGGUACUGACGCUGAGGUGCGAAAGCGUGGGGAGCAAACAGG
This 253-nucleotide ribosomal RNA is filed under the name uncultured bacterium. RNAcentral describes it as "partial 16S ribosomal RNA". It matches the Rfam family "Bacterial small subunit ribosomal RNA", at positions 524 to 776 of the family's 1533-position model. The record is from RNAcentral.